GCUCCAGCCGCGGGGGCGGCGGCCGUCUCCCCCUCCCCCUCCUGCCUCCUCAGUGCCCCCCCCUUCCGAAACUGCGGGGGGACACUCCCCCCUUCCCUCCCUUCCCCCAGCCUGGCCCGCGCAUCCCAGCCCCUGACGCGGCUGCAGAUAACGGGGCCGGGAGGGCUGCUCCCGCCGCGCUGGACGCACCCGGAGCCGCAACCCCCUUGGAAAGGGACGCGCUGGGCUCUGGGGAAAUGCUGCUGCUGGUGGUGUUGGGGGGUUCCUUGACUGGGGGAAGUUAGCGUGCGGUACUUAACCGCCACCCCCUUCUCAGGCUGCAUAGGUGCCCCCCCAACCCCCGCUGAGCCUGAGCUCCGGGGGUGGGAGCUUGCGCCCACCCUGCAGGCACAGGUCCCCAAAGCGAAUGGCUAGCCAAACAGCCUGGGUGCAGUGUAAGCUGUUCCGAGGAAAGACAGGAAUGGGAAACCUGUCAUUGCGCUGGGUGCACUCUUUGGCUUCCUUACCAGAGGCAAAUACUGAAGUCUAGAGGACAGGGCAGCCACUUAAAAGAUGGACCCAUUUUUUUUUUCACUUUAAAGGCUGUAUUAUUUAACAUAAUGCGUCUUUGGGGGGAGGUGCUGGAGAGACAAAUAAAAAGUGUAGUUGUGGAAAUUGUUUUGAGACCCUUCCGCAUCCUCCACCCCCUCCUAAAUUAUUUUAUUCCUCUGUUGACCCAAGGCAUGCAUAGCAAAGCAUUCUUUUUCCCUAAACCCUUCCCCCCUUCUCUCCCUCUCUCCUCUUCCUUUUCUCGUUUCCUUCUGUCUUUGACCCCUCUUUCCCCCUCCUCCCUCACCUCUUCUCACUUGUCUAUCUUUCCUCAAACAACUGGACCUAAGUGGCACGAGUUCCAGAAGGCCAGCAUUGAGGGGUAAGGGUCUUGGAAGUAAUGGCACCAGGCAUAGAAGCAUCCUGCUUGUUAAAUAUUUGUUAAAUUGUAGCCAGGAGAGUUGGCGAUGCACUGCUGUGGGCUAUGCGGACUGCGGUUUGAGGGUCUGAAAUAAGCCUCAUUCUGAUCUUAGAGUGUGAAACUCUUGCAGUUUUAAUCCACUUAGAGUGGAUGAGGAAACAUGAUAGCAGCUGUUAAAAGAGCCAGGCAAGUUUAAAUGUCUGAAUUUUGUUCCUGAUCUAACUGCAGUUAGAUAAUCAUCUAAGGGGGAAAAUGAAAGCUCUUCAGAGUUUGAAUUUUGGUUGAUUUUGUGUGCAUUCCGUUGAAUCUAAUUGCAGGAAGAGAUGAUCUUGUUACUGGAUUGUUUUAAGUAAACAGUUCAUUAGAUUGAAAGUUUUUAAAGGACCCCAAACUACCAAGUUGACAAAGGUGAUUUUAUGGUUAUAGGUAUAGGUCCUGAGGCAUAUAUGAAUUGAUUUCAUGGAAUUUAGUGUUAAAGAGGUCAAGUUAGAAUGGUGACUUCCUUUUAUAAGCUGAGGGUUUGAGAUAGAACUUAAUCCAUUUUAGCCUGACAACUCCUUUUCUGUUAUAGGUGCAAGAUGUCACAGCCUAGAACAGAAAAUAGAUCAUUACUUUCCGGUUUCUUCAUGAAAAAAUUUCUUCAGUAAUGAAUAUCAUUUCCAGACUCUGUAAAUAUAGCAUUUUUGGUGACUGAUGCCAGAGUAGUAUUUUGGUGGAUGUGUUGGAUUGAAGUUUCUAUUCAUGAGUUUCUAGAAUUUACGCAGACUAUAUUGUGGUUUUGAUUGUUGAUAGAACUCUCUUUCGUAGAGAUUCUUUUUUAUGGUUGAGGCUGACAGUGAGUUGACUUGGUAAACUUGGUAAAAUAGUAGUUUUACUUUGUACUUUGAAGCACUGUUGUUUCAUCUCUUGAGAUGCCUUCAAUUGAAACUCUAGUGUUCUAGAGAAACAUUGUAACAAUAUUUAUAGCAACUGUGUCUCAAUGCCUUAUAUUGUUACUUUAUAUUCAUGUGACUGAUACAUUUAUCUUGUAGUUGUAAGAAAAAUCAACUUGAAAAAGUUGGACAGAUUUUGGGGUUUCUAGCAAGACAGCCUAAGAGAUUUGCUUUUGAGGAUCCAAUAUUGCAUGAUGUAAUUGAAAAAAAUAAUUUUAGUUAUACUUAUGCAUUAAGGACAAUCAGAUUUUAAAAGAUGUUCAGUGUAUCUACUAUGCAAGAUAAAAAAGUUGUGAUGAAAACUAACAUUUCUUUAUGUGGAACAUCUAUUUUGAAAAUUUGGCAUUGACAUAGGAAGAGUUUUUGUGGCAUAAAAAAAUGAAAAUAGAGUGACGUACAUUUGAAAUAGAAAAAUUUAUGUGAGUGGACAAAGACCUGUAGGAUAUUUUAUAUUAAGAGUAGCUAGUUUUUGUGAGCUAGUAUGUUUUAAAUUGCAUUAAGAUGAGAAAUGUUAACAGAAUGAAUAAUAGAAUCAGAAUAAAGUUGUCAGUUUAUAGGAACAAUAACUGAAAAAACAAUAGGGAGAAAAAGAUUCAAUAAGUAGUUAUUACAUAAUUGAUAGUGAUAGAAAAUAUGUUUAGAUGAAUAGUGUUUUUUUUUUUUAAGUUAAUCUAGCUUGAUAUUUUAGCUUUACUGAUCAUGUCCAUUUGGACUGCUAAAGCAAAUUGCAUGUUUGUUUUUCUGCUAUCUAGAGGCAUCCUGGUAAAAAGUUUUUUAUACCUGAACCCUUGUGACAUCUUUGCCAAUUAGUUUUAAAGUCAUUAUGAAGGGUUUUCUAGCCCUAAAAUUCUUUGUAUAACUUGAUAGCUGUAGGCAUUGUAGUAUACUAGAUUCCUUAGAAUACAGAUCCCUAUCUGUCUUGCUAUUUUGAAAAGUUGCAUGGUUACUUGAUGUAAUCCUACAACUUCAUUAUCUUUAGGAAAAUUUGUAAGUCAUUAAAGGUAGGGUAAGGAAUACUUGGGAAAUUGAGGUAGAUGCAUAUGAGAACAGAACAGUGAUAGUUUAUUAAAUCAGAAACAGUUUGAAAUGUAAAAGUUGGAAUAAAAAUGUAUUUAAACUUCAUUUUAUAGCAAGAAUAAAUACAGCAUCAAGUUUUCUUUGUAUGUAAUUGCUUUCUGUUUUAAAGUAUCCAUCAAAGAAAAGAUCCAUGCUAAUGUUCAAGUAGUUUAAGUAGAGAAUAUAUGAUUAAAAACCCAAAGCUAAAGACAAUUUGUGAUUUGAAUGUAUAGUAAAUGAUCUGGGAAUUGAAAAUGUGUUUUAAUAGCAUGUGAAACAUGAAUGCAGCAAUAAGAAUGAAAUCUGAGAGCUGUCUUAAAGACAGGUUUAAAAUAUAUUUGUAUUCAAGGUAAUCUGAGGUACUUAGUAAUUGGAAUUUUAAUGAGGGUGAUUAAACAAAGGGAAGAAAUCCAUUGGUGGUAGAUAUUUUGAAAUUUUGACAUACAACUUAGAACAAUAAAAACAAGGCAAUAUUUAGAAAUAGUUAAAAAUAUAGGGAAUUUUUGUUUACUAAUAUUUGCUUCAUUUUUAUUGAAUAUCUUUUCAUUUCCAUUACUUUGUGUUGGGCAUUAUAAAAAUGUGAGCAGAAUGUGAAGAUUUUAGAGAACUAUAAUAACCAUUACUGCUGUCUAUGGGGGAAAAAAAAACUAGUCUUAUGUAAAAGAUGGGAGGAAACAGAGUGAAAAAUGGUUAUAAUAAAACAUUUGGACUAACUGGUUUCUGAGGCUGAAUUUGAACUCAUCCUUCUCUCUCCAGGUAGUCUAGCGCUAUAUUCACUAUGCCAUCUAGCUACUUCAUCAAAAGAUUUCAUGCAGUAUACCUACUUGUUUAGAUCAAGAAAAGCCUACUUAAUACUUCAUUGAGUGCCAGGACUUGAGUUAUACCAGAAAAUUCAACGAAUAAGGAUAUCGUAACCCAAACUUUUCAUUUGAUUGAAGCUUCAUUGAGCAUGUUGCUACUUUCCUAGCCAUUCAGAAUUUAAAGAUAAAAGGACAAAUACUCAUUGGCAAGACUUUCCUUAGUCGCUUCUCAAGGCAGUAUGGUUGGCACAGUGGAAAGAAUGCAGGAUUUGACAUCAGAAAACCUGGCUUUAACAUGUUGAUUCUACUUCUUGACUACCUCCGAGUGUCAGUCUCUCAUCUUUAAAAGAAGGGGGCUAGAUUACAAGAUCUACAAAGUCUCUUUCAGUUCAUGAUAUUAUGACGUAAUCAUUAUUAAAAAUCCUCAGAUCUCAUGUAGAUUCGAGAAUCUUAAGUGAAUUUGGAAAACUAUUGCCAUAUAAUUCCAAACUCUGAUGUAGCAAAUAUGAGAGAACAUUAGUAAUAAUUUCUCACGAUGCUUAUUUAUGUAGUUUGGAAUAAUUUGACCCUAGAAUAUUUAGUAGCCUUAUAGAAAUGGAUUUUCAAACUUGAAAGAAGAUAACAGUUUAACCUGAUGUAAUGGAAAAACCAGUGGACUUAGAGUAAGUUUACUUGAGAUGAGUUAUUUUUCUGCCAAUUUUCAACCUCUCUGAGUUGCCUGCUCCCCACUCGCCAUCCCCAUCUCUUUUCUUGUGACCACGAAUCUAAAAACAUUAAGGAACCUUAGAGACAUUUGGUCUAAUCAUCUCAUUCCACAAUUGAAGAAAUUGAAUCUUAGAAAUUAAGACCACUUCCCAGCUGUGUGACCCUGGGCAAGUCACUUGACCCUCAUUGCCUAGCCCUUACCACUCUUCUGCCUUGGAGCCAAUACACAGUAUUGACUCCAAGACGGAAGGUAAGGGUUUUAAAAAAAAGAAAGAAAGAAAGAAAUUAAGAGAUUUAUCCAAGGUUAUGUAGAUACUAAGUAUCAAGAGUCUGGUUUUGAAUCCAGAUCCUCUCAAUCAACUGAGCACUGUUAUUCCUCUGAGGGAAACACUUUGUUAAAGUUGUAGUGCUAUAUAAGUGCUCAUUACUUUUAUUUGAUAUAAUUUAAAUUAAUGAUAUUGGAAAAUAAAAGCACUUACUCAAAUUAGAUUAUAGUAAGGUGAAAAGUGGAAGUUGCCCUGAGAGGUAGUGUGAUAUAGUAGAAAGAACACUCACACUCUGGAAUUAAAAGACCUGGGUUCAGAUCCCUCCUAUGAUACUUUCUAGUGGGUAAGCCCCCAAACCUCUCUGGGUUUUAGCUUCAUCAUCCAUAAAUGAGAUUAUAUUAGAUGUUUUUAGGGGUCCCUUCUUGUUCGUCAUCUAUGAUUUGCAUUCAUUCAGUGAAUAUUUAUUUGUUGAGGUGUUCUUAUGUAUAAGGUUCUUUAACUAGUUGCACUACGAGAUUCAAAAUUAUACAAGAUUUGAUCCUGGAGAGAAUAAUAGUCUGGAAGCAGGGAGACUAGCAUACUAAUAAUAAUUUAGAGAUAAAGGACAGGGACCCUGAAAUAUUGUGGUUGUAGGAAUGGGACAGAAGCAAAAUAAAUUCAUAAGAAAUAGUGGACAGAUCUUCGUGAUUGGAGAAGGAAAAAUUAUUCUUAAAUUGAACAUCAGUGACUAGGAAAUGAUAGUGCCAUUAACAGAAACAGGAAAGUCAGAAGGAAAAGCUGACUUUAAGAGGAAUGGGGUACUAUUUAGGGGCAACUUAUUGAAUUCAGGGUUUUGGUGCAUUUGGUUGGAAAUGAUUAUUAAAGACCUAGAAUUGAGAAAAUUGAAGUACUGGAGAGCAGAGUUGGAGACAAAGAUUUAGAAAUUUUCUACCUUAGUCAUAAUAGUUGACACUGUGGGAGAGAGAAGGAUAGAGAGGUUCGGAACACUACCCUAAUUUUCUGCCAUUGUUUAUAAAUAUUUCUAUACUUCAAUAUUUGGAAUUAUAAGACCUGAGUUUGAAUCUAGCUCUGUCACUAUUAUCUAUGUGAAUAUAGGAAAAUCACUUCACCUCUCUGGCCUCUUGUUUUCUUAUCUACAAAAUUAGUUUAAUUCUGAGGUCCCCUCCAGCCCUAAAAUCCUUUCAUUAAUUAAUUUGACAAUUAUUUAUUAAGCUUCCAUUUUUUACCAGGAAAUAAAAUGGGUACUGUGAAUAGAAAGACAAGAAAUGAAGCAGAAGUGCCCUCAAAGGAACUUUGGAUAGGGAUUUGGAGUCUCAAUUGAUGCCCCUUACCAACCAGGAAGUAUUAGUCCUUUUAGAAAAAGACCCAUAGAUUUCUGGUCUAGCUUAAUUUCAGUUAAAAAAUGACAGUUUCUGUUUUGAACCAUUUUGAAGAGAUGUAGGGGGUGGGAGGAGACUAAUAAGAAUUUACAAAGUAUCUGGACUUUUUCAGGGCAAUCUUUUCAGCAUAAACAUGUAGAGCUGUCAGAAUGACUUCUAGACAUUGC
This is a non-coding RNA of Monodelphis domestica (gray short-tailed opossum), 6254 nucleotides long. The record is from RefSeq and is a predicted model, not a curated record. Lineage: Eukaryota; Metazoa; Chordata; Mammalia; Didelphimorphia; Didelphidae.